This 466-nucleotide ribosomal RNA is filed under the name uncultured Geobacter sp. Its description in RNAcentral is "bacterial SSU rRNA". It matches the Rfam family "Bacterial small subunit ribosomal RNA", at positions 338 to 795 of the family's 1533-position model. Lineage: Bacteria; Pseudomonadati; Thermodesulfobacteriota; Desulfuromonadia; Geobacterales; Geobacteraceae. The record is from RNAcentral.
CCUACGGGGGGCAGCAGUGGGGAAUUUUGCGCAAUGGGGGAAACCCUGACGCAGCAACGCCGCGUGAGUGAUGAAGGCCUUCGGGUCGUAAAGCUCUGUCAGAGGGAAAGAAAUGCGGGAGGGUUAAUACCCCUUUUGCUUGACGGUACCCUCAAAGGAAGCACCGGCUAACUCCGUGCCAGCAGCCGCGGUAAUACGGAGGGUGCGAGCGUUGUUCGGAAUUAUUGGGCGUAAAGCGCGUGUAGGCGGUCUUUUAAGUCUGAUGUGAAAGCCCCGGGCUCAACCUGGGAAGUGCAUUGGAAACUGGGAGACUUGAAUACGGGAGAGGGUAGUGGAAUUCCUAGUGUAGGAGUGAAAUCCGUAGAUAUUAGGAGGAACACCGGUGGCGAAGGCGGCUACCUGGACCGAUAUUGACGCUGAGACGCGAAAGCGUGGGGAGCAAACAGGAUUAGAUACCCUGGUAGUC